This 253-nucleotide ribosomal RNA is filed under the name uncultured bacterium. Its description in RNAcentral is "partial 16S ribosomal RNA". It matches the Rfam family "Bacterial small subunit ribosomal RNA", at positions 524 to 776 of the family's 1533-position model. The record is from RNAcentral.
UACAGAGGGGGCAAGCGUUGUUCGGAAUUACUGGGCGUAAAGGGCGCGUAGGCGGCCUGUUAAGUCGAACGUGAAAUCCCCGGGCUCAACCCGGGGACUGCGUCCGAUACUGGCAGGCUUGAAUCCGGGAGAGGGAUGCGGAAUUCCAGGUGUAGCGGUGAAAUGGGUAGAUAUCUGGAGGAACACCGGUGGCGAAGGCGGCAUCCUGGACCGGCAUUGACGCUGAGGCGCGAAAGCCAGGGGAGCAAACGGG